UACGGAGGAUCCGAGCGUUAUCCGGAAUUAUUGGGUUUAAAGGGUGCGUAGGCGGCCAUUUAAGUCAGCGGUGAAAUUUUGCAGCUCAACUGUAAAAGUGCCUUCGAAACUGGUUUCCUUGAGUGUAGAUGAAGUAGGCGGAAUUUGUGGUGUAGCGGUGAAAUGCAUAGAUAUCACGAGGAACUCCGAUUGCGCAGGCAGCUUACUAAACUACUACUGACGCUCAGGCACGAAGGCGUGGGGAUCAAACAGGAUUAGAUACCCCCGUAGUCCCU
This 275-nucleotide ribosomal RNA is filed under the name uncultured prokaryote. RNAcentral describes it as "partial 16S ribosomal RNA". It matches the Rfam family "Bacterial small subunit ribosomal RNA", at positions 524 to 798 of the family's 1533-position model. The record is from RNAcentral.